CCAAACAGUAAAUAUGUGUGACGUUCCGCAAGGAAAGGGCCAACUUUGUCGGUAUCAAGUUACGUAUAGAGACAUGUCACCGGAUAAAUUUAUGAUAUUUUAAGCUCAAGAGGAACCCUCUAGGUUGAAAACCGAGUCGUCGGGGUUCUUUUGAACUUGGAACUUUAUAAACCCGUUUUUAUAGAAAAAGGAUGACUUCCAGACGCAACCCCAAAAUCAAUACUUUUGAACUUUGUUCACUAAAACGCGAAUAUCUCCUCAACUAAUAUUGACAAAUUAAGCUCUUUACUUACGAAAAUUCCGGUACAAUUUAUAAAGAUUACAAAAAAUUGUGCAACAUGGCAUUUCUUCAAAUGAAAUUGCUUUGCUUAAUCUAUCGAUUCAAACUGAACAACCUACCAUGGAAAAGAAUAUUUUGUAUCGAUUGAAACAAAGUCUGCACGCUGGACGGGCACAUUCUCAUCAGAAGAUGCGCACGCAGCUCGCUUCGCUCGCAAGUUUAAGCACGCGUUGGGUGCACCUCAGUUGGAUCUCGCGCUUCGUGCUCGAUAACAAAUUUUUAUGCAGCAUAGACAAAUGCCAUUUGAGUGAAAAAAACACCUGGAGAUAUUGCCGAGGAGAAUCCAGAACUAUCUUCA
This is a long non-coding RNA of Belonocnema kinseyi, 638 nucleotides long. RefSeq lists it as uncharacterized. Lineage: Eukaryota; Metazoa; Arthropoda; Insecta; Hymenoptera; Cynipidae. The record is from RefSeq and is a predicted model, not a curated record. The transcript has 3 exons.